AGCAUUCUGGAAAACCCACUC
Molecule: non-coding RNA, 21 nt
Filed under: Arabidopsis thaliana (thale cress)
Lineage: Eukaryota; Viridiplantae; Streptophyta; Magnoliopsida; Brassicales; Brassicaceae
Source: RNAcentral